This is a non-coding RNA of Oryza meridionalis, 204 nucleotides long. NCBI's taxonomy places the organism in Eukaryota, Viridiplantae, Streptophyta, Magnoliopsida, Poales, Poaceae. The record is from Rfam.
AAAAAAAACAUCUCUAAAUUUCCGUGUCCAACGUUUGACUGUCCGUUUUAUAUGAAAUUUUUUAUAAUUAGUAUUUUUAUUGAUGUUAGAUGAUAAAACGUGAUUAAUACUUUAUGCGUGACUUGUCUUUUUAAUUUUUUCAUAUUUUUUCAAAUAAGACGGAUGGUUAAAUGUUGGAAAUAAAAAUCCAGAGUUUGUCUUUUU